GCAGAUGGACCCUUCCUGGCUGAGAAUCUGUAUCUUCAGAUCUGAAAAUGCUUGCGAGAGCAAAUCAUCUGUCACUUGAGGAGACUGAUGUUUCUGAAGCAAGAAUUGAGACACAUAAGACUGAUGAUUUUCCCAGUCACAAGAUGAAAGGAGAGUCACCAAAGAAACAGGGUCACCAAACUGGAGCUGCAUCAUCUGAUGAACAGCGGCACAGGAAAUGUUAAUCUAAGAAGCGGUUUCUUGACAUGACAAAGACGUUGCCGAAAAGUCAGAAAAUUCACAUAUAGAUGAAAGAAAACGGUUCCAGCUGUUGCUGUCUAGCAAAGGAUGUGUCUAAACUUAGAAGCAGCUGGAAUGGAGACAAGCUCUGACUGUGUUUCCUGAAGAAAGGAGGGAAGGACAGAAAGGUGAAUCUGUGUUCAAAAUAAGGCUGACAGCUGAACGUAAAUAAAGGCUUUGUGAACCAUCAGGAGCUUCACCGUUAUUCGCCCCCAUAGACUGUAUAUAAAGAUGGACAUAGCAUCCGUGACGUCACCCGUUGGUUUCUGCACUGAGAAAUUGAAGCCUCUUCCUGGUUGACAUCUUGGAUUUUUGGAGCCAGUGAAGACAACAAGGGCGGAGCCAGAGAGCAGCGAUUGGUCAGACUGACUGAGAGCCGAAGAUUCUCUGUCCCGCCCACAUUUACGGCUUCUGCUGUUUACCUGCUGCUGCUAACAACGUUAGCAUCCAAAAGUGAAGAUAAACUCUACAGCUAAGUCAUUUUUGUAACUAGUUGUACUCUUCUCCACAUCUGGACAACAUCACAUAUAAAGCAGUGAAGUUACUGUAAGUUAAUAUCAAACUAUAACAUCUGAUAUAAACAUGUUCUAACGUCGUGUUUUAAAAUUGUUCUGUAAAUCUGAGGUUUCCUCAUUUAGUGCUAAUGCUACAUCAGGUUAGUCAGUGUCAUAAACUAGGUAACUGUUAGCUGUAGCUAAGUCUCCUGCAGAUCACAGCUGAUCAAUCAUAACGGAUUGAUAAGUGCUGUUUUAAUGAUCAGCAGAUAUAAAUAAAUCUACGUUAAUGUUCCUCCACAGAACUGUUACUGAUGAAUGUUAAUCUCUCAGUUCAGUUCUGAGUUAGUAUCUCUGUUCUUUGCUUCAGUUUUUUCUCUACAACUGUCUAUGAUGAGAUAACUGUGGAGCUCAUGCUAAUGAUACAUUAGAAUAAAAUAGAAGAAACUUUUUUGUCCAUCCAAGGCAGUAAAAUGGUCUUUAGCCUCAACCAGGAAAAGAAACAUUUCCAGAAGAUUAAAAAAUAGAACAAA
Molecule: long non-coding RNA, 1306 nt
Organism: Amphiprion ocellaris (clown anemonefish)
Lineage: Eukaryota; Metazoa; Chordata; Actinopteri; Pomacentridae
Source: Ensembl